AUAUAUAUAUUUAAAAAUAUAUUUACUUUGCUUUAUUAAUACAUUGUCAAGGACAUGAAUCUCGAAGAAAGAAAAUCCUCAAUAGACUCUUGUAACAUUGAAAGGAACUAAAAAGUCACUGAAAGAUGAUGUAAUAUUGAACUGGAAUGGCUAUUGCCAAAAACAAGAAGUCUAAAAAGGCUUGAAACAAGACUAAGGACUAGAAAGGUGUUGACAAGAGUGAAGAAGGCUUUCACUCUUGUCUCCAUAUAUACUCUUAACUAGAAGUUACGUUGCAAUGUUCUACAGGACUUCCAAAACGUGUUGACUUUGUG
RNAcentral lists this long non-coding RNA (314 nucleotides) under Physcomitrium patens. RNAcentral describes it as "long non-coding RNA (PPAT_LNC000436)". Lineage: Eukaryota; Viridiplantae; Streptophyta; Bryopsida; Funariales; Funariaceae. The record is from RNAcentral.